Long non-coding RNA from Patella vulgata (common limpet), 1576 nucleotides. RefSeq lists it as uncharacterized. NCBI's taxonomy places the organism in Eukaryota, Metazoa, Mollusca, Gastropoda, Patellidae. The transcript has 3 exons. The record is from RefSeq and is a predicted model, not a curated record.
GAUUCCUUUCUCAAUUCUAUAUAAAUUUGCAUUAUCCCUAUUCCUCAUUAAUGUAUCUGGUUCUCGCAUAAUCACACUUUUCUAAACAAUUCUUGGCUAUCUGAGCAGUAUGAUUUUGUUAUGGAUUUUAAAAUGGACGACGUGUAGUGGUUCGGAUGGGGUGAAAAACCGAGGUCUUGUGCCCUCAUAGCACACUGCAUGGCGCAUGCCCGUCUUCAUUACCCCAGCGGGAGCAGACAAGUUAGACUCAGUCUCAAGAAGACUACUAUUGUUUUAAGAAUCAGUCCUGCCUCGUCCCACUCGGCUAGCUAGAAUACGUUUGAAUUGUUACCUGUCUCUCUUCUCUUAAUCCUUUUUCGGAAAUAUUAGGUGUUUUCACCCAUGGAAAGUCUUCUAAAAAGGGUUAGGGUACAGAUUCACGAGUGAAGAGAUUUAGUUUGAACACCUAUGGUAAUUGGUGUGGUAGUUGGACUCAUGCGCCGUGGGGUGGCUGUUGCCCUACUUGCCAGCUAGCACCAUGUUUGAAUUUCACAUGUAAGCCUGGGAUAGACAACAUUGACCAGGCGUGUGCGAGAUUCACAGUUUGUCAUCACUGUGGAAUGGAGACUCCCAAUAAGGCAUUACCUCAUUGUGACUGCGUUCGAGAUAUUGCCAGUGAUCUUAGAGAUGCGAGAUGCGAUGGAUCUGUACCGAAAUGCUACAGCUACAGAAACAGACUGUAUGGCUUUAUGUCCAAUCAUAAAUGCUGGGGACGGCUUAUGCUCAAAAUUGUCCGCCAUUAUCAAUGUGGAUUCAAACAAAGUAACUGCAAAGGCAACUCUUGUACAGUUGUCCCACAGAUGUGCGAGAAAAAGGAAGUGAAGAUUUUAAAUAACUUCAAUUGUUUGAAUUAUUCUACGUGUGAAGAAACCUUCCGAACACUUGGUUGAUCUACGUGAUCCCUAUAGUUAACAUUCUAAAAUAUAAAAAUAUUAAUUUAAAUGGAAUAUACAAAACCUUAUAUGCAUCUUCUAUCUUGGAAUAAAAUAUAUGACUGCUCUAAUUGACCGGUGAAUAUUUCGUCCAGAAGCCCUACAGCCAACUAAUUGAUCUUUUCGUGUCGAUAUUUUCCUUUUGAAACCAAUGUGGCAUCUAUGCCUUGGUGGGGUGGGAGCAGGGCCCAUGAGAGGAGGGGGCAGCUGGGAUACUUGUCCAGGGGUCAGGGGCCUAGAGGGGCCCAGAGGUAUGCCGAGUAAUGAUUUUUUUAUUAAAAUAAAUGCUUGUAUAAAUUAAUAAAAAAAACCAACAACUAUGCACUGUUACUUUAUCGUAAAGUAGAAGAAAACCGGUGAUUUUUCUGAAUGUGGGUAAGUAGCGGAGGCCAGUGUUAGAAUCGGAUUCUGUCAGUCCUAGUUCCGCUUGAGGCUCUAGUCAACGUCAGGGUUUCCGAGCUUCCUUCCGUUUGAAUCCCGUUCAACAUAAUUUUGGGUAUUGAAAAAAUAAACGAAUAGUUUAUGUGAUGAACAAUUUUUUUUUGUUGAUAUUUUGACGUCUGAUAGUCACGGUCUUUGUUUUUCCAUUUGUUUUCUUGCUUAUA